This 253-nucleotide ribosomal RNA is filed under the name uncultured bacterium. Its description in RNAcentral is "partial 16S ribosomal RNA". It matches the Rfam family "Bacterial small subunit ribosomal RNA", at positions 524 to 776 of the family's 1533-position model. The record is from RNAcentral.
UACGAAGGGGGCUAGCGUUGUUCGGAAUUACUGGGCGUAAAGCGCACGUAGGCGGAUACUUAAGUCAGGGGUGAAAUCCCGGGGCUCAACCCCGGAACUGCCUUUGAUACUGGGUAUCUCGAGUCCGGAAGAGGUGAGUGGAAUUCCGAGUGUAGAGGUGAAAUUCGUAGAUAUUCGGAGGAACACCAGUGGCGAAGGCGGCUCACUGGUCCGGUACUGACGCUGAGGUGCGAAAGCGCGGGGAGCAAACAGG